GUGACAUCCGAGGUCCUUUCAAAGCGCGGGGGAGUGUAUCUUCAUCUUCGGAUCUUCCUCAACAAGCCAAAACUGAGGCAAGGAGGGCUCGAGGUCGAGGCGGUCGGAGACGGAUUUCGCCGCUGGGUCGUCUCGUUGCAAAGCACAACCUACGCCUCCGCCUCAUAGUCAUCAUCUCCUUCGUGCGCUUCUGCUCCUCUCUUCCCUGGAGCCCAGAUCUGGAGGUGAAGAUAAGUUGCGUUGAGCCAUGGUGUCGCUUCAGGUCGGGCACCCCCAAAUCCUAGUUCGCGCACAAGCUAGGGAUGUGAGUUUCUAUAUCGUCUUCUACUUUCCCUUCGGGUUGCUAGGCACACGCAUACGUGCUGGUCAUUGAAUUCGUGUCGGUGGCUAGCUUUCAAUUAUGCAUAUCCGGUGUAGAUGCCUAGGUUGUGCAUCUAAUCUUCAUGGUUAGGCGCUUGGUUGGUCCUGUACACUAGUCACCUUGAUUCCGUUUGAUUUGUAGCUAUUUGGGGGGGUCUAGUAGCAUUGCUUAUGUAUUCUGCUCAUGUUGUUUCACUAAAUGUUGCAUUAGUUAGAAUUUUAGUCUACUUGCUUAAUGCUGAUUUUCCAUACUAUUAAGGUCCUAAUUUUGGUGCAUAAAUUGAAAUAUGUUGAUUGUUUUAUUUAGAUGAUUCUGCUAAACAUUGUCAUGAGCAAACACCUGCAUAUAAAUUAGGUUAUCUUCCCCAUUUGCAGUUACAGGGAUUAUUUUUUAUCCUAUUAGAUAUCUCCCGAUAUCCUUAGUACUGGAGCCACGUACUCCCUCUGUCUCCACUGAUGAGUUGCCGAUGGGCCAAGGCCACCAAAAUAUUUACAUACAGUAUCCUUUUGUUCAACUUAUUAUGCAGAGAUUGUUCAUCGAAUAGCCCAUAUUUAUAUGUAUGGCAGUAGGCAUUAUUUAGCACUGAUUAUCUGACACGGUUUAUUAGAAGCUAUAGACCAAUGUCUCUAAAUUUUUUAUCUGGCUGGUAAUUUUCACUUUAGAUUUUUUAGAGAUUUGAUACAAUGCAUCUCGGACAGAAGUGGCAGCACGGAUGUGCUCCAUCAUCCAAUGUGUUUUUUUUCAAACACGCACCAAUUACUGUGUCAAGAGCACAGAAGCACAACAAGUCUUGAUGUGAUAUCAUCUAAUGCAGCUCUGCAACAGUGGAUUCAAAUCAGGUUGUUCUACAUCAGUUGAUUCUACAACAACACAUCUGUCCAGAUUAUUACAUGCGCUAUUUAUUUUCUGUGAUGUGUAGCAACUUUUUUUGAUAUCCAAGAGCAGUUGUUUUUGCAUCUAAAGAUGAUGCCGGCAUAAAAAUACUUUUUUGAUUCGUGUGUCAC
Panicum virgatum (switchgrass) is the source of this 1365-nucleotide long non-coding RNA. RefSeq lists it as uncharacterized. The transcript has 3 exons. The record is from RefSeq and is a predicted model, not a curated record. Lineage: Eukaryota; Viridiplantae; Streptophyta; Magnoliopsida; Poales; Poaceae.